CUUACAGAAACAAGAACCUAGUUAAACGAACCCAAACAAACUCAUCAAACCCAAAUCCAUGACAGAAAACCAUAGUUGAAUCAAGCUGCUGCCCAAACCCGCAGCAAAUCAAGAUCAUCAUCGCAGUCGAAACUUCACCCAGCAAGCGUCUAGAAGCUUCAAUAGAGGGCAACUCCACAUAUUGAAGAACAACGACCAGGGCUACACAUGGCUAGAUUGCCCAAACCAAAAUACCAGACUCAAUAACACCCAAGAUUCAAGCAGCCAAAACUAAGCUCCAUAACAGAACCGCAAGAAUGCUAGCCAUUUAUUAUAGAACCCAGAAACUCAUGGAGACAAGUGCUUCUGCUACUUUGUCGGUUGUAAGAGAUGUGAAUCUGUUGGACAAGACAGUGAAAGAAGAGGUAAAGCACGGUGAUUUCUUAAUCUCUUUUAACUGGAGGGGAAAAGCCUCAUAAGUGAGCUUAACACCUAUACCCUCGAGAUACCUCUUAACAAGCUAAAAUUGAACCAUCACACGCAGACCCAGACUAACUCUCUUUCUAAAUCGCGUCAAUUUGCAAAAUGAAAAGAAACUCAUUUAUCCAAAACCCCUUUCAGGAGGGAAUAAUGCACUUCCGAAUAAAGGAGAGGAUGGCCAUCCCCUACUGGUUGAAGCAGAGGACAAUUAUGCACUCUGG
This 680-nucleotide unclassified non-coding RNA is filed under the name Hevea brasiliensis (rubber tree). Lineage: Eukaryota; Viridiplantae; Streptophyta; Magnoliopsida; Malpighiales; Euphorbiaceae. The record is from RNAcentral.